CAAUUCAUUCUGUUAUUUUCUUUCUGGUUUUAAACCUUCUGCCGCAACUCCCCCAGAUCCAAAACGUUUUCUACCAUUUUUCCCUAUCUCUGCCGCAAAUUUAAAAGGUUUAGGAUCAACAAAUCUUAUAGUUUCCUUCUUUCAUCAAUAGGAAUCUGACGAGCCAGAAAAAGGAUUUCAAUGGAAGCAAAAGGAAUCAUAUGUGGGCUCCCAGCAAAGAACGUGAAACCAAAAAUCAAAGAAAUAAGUGACCAAGGUGAGGGAAGUCGCGCGGAUGAUGAUGUCAAGGAGAUAACAAGGCUAGAGUACAGAAAAUCCCUCGCUCACCUAGACUACUUAAUACGCAUCGAGGUAGACGAAGAAGACAUUGACCCAAUGUACAUGAGAAUAAUCCAAGACAUCCAAAACAAAUGCCCAAAAGUAGAAGGAUCCUCACGAUCUGGAAACGCUACUUGAAGAUUGUACUGUUAGAAUCUAUUGUCUUUGUUAUUUUCUAAACUUUGUUAACUAUCCACAAGUAUGUUUAGACUACGUCAACUUUUAAUAUUUUCGGAUCUCA
This is a non-coding RNA of Camelina sativa (false flax), 559 nucleotides long. Lineage: Eukaryota; Viridiplantae; Streptophyta; Magnoliopsida; Brassicales; Brassicaceae. The record is from RefSeq and is a predicted model, not a curated record.